RNAcentral lists this non-coding RNA (43 nucleotides) under Schistosoma margrebowiei. The record is from RNAcentral. Lineage: Eukaryota; Metazoa; Platyhelminthes; Trematoda; Strigeidida; Schistosomatidae.
AUCCAGCUGACGAGUCCCAAAUAGAACGAAACGCGUCAUGGAU